AAAGCCAACAAUGUUAAGGAAGUCCGGCUAAUAAACAGGUUCCAUUUGAAAUAUCUUCAGAAACCAGGGGGAGAUGUAAAGAGGAAUGGCAUAGCAACUAAGUCAGCCAAUUGGGAGCUGAAACAGACUGGAGUCAGGGCAUGUCUUAGUCUGCAGCUUCUGAUUCUAUGCAGAGAAGAGAAACUGAAACCAGUGUGUGUGAACUUGUCUGCUGAUCUGAGCUGAAAUUAAACUGUGAAUCUGC
Long non-coding RNA from Pantherophis guttatus, 244 nucleotides. RefSeq lists it as uncharacterized. The record is from RefSeq and is a predicted model, not a curated record. NCBI's taxonomy places the organism in Eukaryota, Metazoa, Chordata, Lepidosauria, Squamata, Colubridae.